This 444-nucleotide ribosomal RNA is filed under the name uncultured eukaryote. RNAcentral describes it as "bacterial SSU rRNA". It matches the Rfam family "Eukaryotic small subunit ribosomal RNA", at positions 592 to 1018 of the family's 1831-position model. The record is from RNAcentral.
CAGGAGCGUAUACUAAUGUUGCUGUUCUUAAGAAAGCUCGUAGCUCAUUCUCUUUAUGACAGUUUGGUGUUCUUUGUUUCCACAUUCUUUAUUGAGUGUAGGAGGACUGUAUACACCUUUUAUCUGUUGUAAAUUCAUUUUAUUGUACUUUUUGUACAGUAAAUCUUUCACUGAAACUAAAAAUGAAGUGCUCAAAAAAGCCCGAAAAGGGAAAUUGAACAAUUCAGUUUGGAAUGAAACGAUAGGUGUUGCAGUGUGUUGACGUCAAGUUUAUCUUACUCUGCAACAAAUAAUCUCUAGGAACGAUUGGGGGUGCUUGUACUUGCAGGACAAAGGUGAAAUUUUCGGACCCUGCAAAGACAAACUGAAGCGAAAGCUUUCACCAAGAGCGUAUCCUCUGGUCAAGAACGAAAGUUGUGGGAGUCGAAGACGAUCAGAUACCGU